Molecule: ribosomal RNA, 253 nt
Filed under: uncultured bacterium
Lineage: Bacteria
Description: partial 16S ribosomal RNA
Rfam family: Bacterial small subunit ribosomal RNA
Source: RNAcentral
UACGGAGGGUGCAAGCGUUAUCCGGAUUCACUGGGUUUAAAGGGUGCGUAGGCGGGCAGGUAAGUCCGUGGUGAAAUCUCUGAGCUUAACUCAGAAACUGCCAUGGAUACUAUUUGUCUUGAAUGUUGUGGAGGUAAGCGGAAUAUGUCAUGUAGCGGUGAAAUGCUUAGAUAUGACAUAGAACACCAAUUGCGAAGGCAGCUUACUACACAAAUAUUGACGCUGAGGCACGAAAGCGUGGGGAUCAAACGGG